UACGUAAGGGGUAGACGUUAGCGUGAAUUACUGGGCGUAAAGCGUGCGCAGGCGGUGAUGUAAGACAGGUGUGAAAUCCCCGGGCUUAACCUGGGAACUGCAUUUGUGACUGCAUCGCUGGAGUGCGGCAGAGGGGGAUGGAAUUCCGCGUGUAGCAGUGAAAUGCGUAGAUAUGCGGAGGAACACCGAUGGCGAAGGCAAUCCCCUGGGCCUGCACUGACGCUCAUGCACGAAAGCGUGGGGAGCAAACAGG
This 253-nucleotide ribosomal RNA is filed under the name uncultured bacterium. RNAcentral describes it as "partial 16S ribosomal RNA". It matches the Rfam family "Bacterial small subunit ribosomal RNA", at positions 524 to 776 of the family's 1533-position model. The record is from RNAcentral.